This is a non-coding RNA of Felis catus (domestic cat), 85 nucleotides long. Lineage: Eukaryota; Metazoa; Chordata; Mammalia; Carnivora; Felidae. The record is from Rfam.
GCCUGGGUGGCUCAGUCGGUUGAGCAUCCGACUUCGGCUCAGGUCAUGAUCUCACGGUCCGUGAGUUCGAGCCCCACGUCGGGCU